UAUAUAUAGGUGUGUGAUGCACAAUAGUUUUUGAAAUUAUUAGGUUUAGUUUAAAUCUAAAAUAUAUAA
Molecule: transfer RNA, 69 nt
Filed under: Ceratocombus japonicus
Lineage: Eukaryota; Metazoa; Arthropoda; Insecta; Hemiptera; Ceratocombidae
Description: tRNA-Gln
Source: RNAcentral